UACAGAGGUCUCAAGCGUUGUUCGGAUUCAUUGGGCGUAAAGGGGGUGUAGGUGGCGCGCUAAGUCGGGUGUGAAAUUUCGGAGCUUAACUCCGAAACUGCAUUUGAUACUGCCUUGCUUGAGGACUGGAGAGGAGACUGGAAUUCACGGUGUAGCAGUGAAAUGCGUAGAGAUCGUGAGGAAGACCAGUGGCGAAGGCGGGUCUCUGGACAGUUCCUGACACUGAGGCACGAAGGCCAGGGGAGCAAACGGG
RNAcentral lists this ribosomal RNA (253 nucleotides) under uncultured bacterium. Its description in RNAcentral is "partial 16S ribosomal RNA". It matches the Rfam family "Bacterial small subunit ribosomal RNA", at positions 524 to 776 of the family's 1533-position model. The record is from RNAcentral.